Long non-coding RNA from Zingiber officinale, 267 nucleotides. RefSeq lists it as uncharacterized. NCBI's taxonomy places the organism in Eukaryota, Viridiplantae, Streptophyta, Magnoliopsida, Zingiberales, Zingiberaceae. The record is from RefSeq and is a predicted model, not a curated record. The transcript is spliced from 3 exons.
GAAUCUCUCCGAUGCCAAAGGGCUUGCCAAGGAAGCUGCUUUCUUGUUCCAGAACCGGCGGUUCCAGGAGUGCGUUGAAAUAUUGAGCCAGAUUUUUGAUAAAAAGAGGGGUGAUGCGAAGGUUCUUCAUAACAUUGUUGUUGCAGAAUACUUACGAGAUGGUUGCACUGAUCCUAGGAAUCUCCUUGAUGCAUUAAACAAGGUUAAAGAGCAGAGUGAAGAGCUUGCGCAUACUUUUGUGGACUAGAUUGACUCUGAGAAUAGCUG